CAAAUUAAAGUUUAUUAAAAUAUUUCAUUUACAUUGAAAAGAAAUUGAUUAUUUCAUUUAAUUUGA
This 66-nucleotide transfer RNA is filed under the name Zygaena excelsa rosei. RNAcentral's name for it is "transfer RNA-Val (GUN)". The record is from RNAcentral. Lineage: Eukaryota; Metazoa; Arthropoda; Insecta; Lepidoptera; Zygaenidae.